AAGGGCGCACGGUGGAUGCCUUGGCACUAGAAGCCGAUGAAGGACGUUACUAACGACGAUAUGCUUUGGGGAGCUGUAAGUAAGCUUUGAUCCAGAGAUUUCCGAAUGGGGAAACCCAGCAUGAGUUAUGUCAUGUUAUCGAUAUGUGAAUACAU
Molecule: ribosomal RNA, 155 nt
Filed under: Staphylococcus aureus
Lineage: Bacteria; Bacillati; Bacillota; Bacilli; Caryophanales; Staphylococcaceae
Also listed under: 5 other names
Description: HMPRFS0000_0507
Rfam family: Bacterial large subunit ribosomal RNA
Source: RNAcentral